RNAcentral lists this ribosomal RNA (241 nucleotides) under uncultured bacterium. RNAcentral's name for it is "partial 16S ribosomal RNA". It matches the Rfam family "Bacterial small subunit ribosomal RNA", at positions 524 to 761 of the family's 1533-position model. The record is from RNAcentral.
UACGGAGGGUGCGAGCGUUGUCCGGAAUCACUGGGCGUAAAGGGCGCGUAGGCGGCUGGGGAAGUCGGCGGUGAAAGCCCGGAGCUCAACUCCGGGUCGGCCGUCGAGACUCCUCGGGCUCGAGCUCACUAGAGGCAGAUGGAAUUCCCGGGUGUAGCGGUGGAAUGCGUAGAGAUCCGGAAGAACACCGGUGGCGAAGGCGGUCUGCUGGGGGUGAGGCUGACGCUGAUGCGCGACAGCG